RNAcentral lists this ribosomal RNA (587 nucleotides) under uncultured bacterium. Its description in RNAcentral is "bacterial SSU rRNA". It matches the Rfam family "Bacterial small subunit ribosomal RNA", at positions 602 to 1189 of the family's 1533-position model. The record is from RNAcentral.
CUGGAGCUCAACUCCAGAACUGCCAUUGAUACUAUCUAUCUUGAAUAUUGUGGAGGUAAGCGGAAUAUGUCAUGUAGCGGUGAAAUGCUUAGAUAUGACAUAGAACACCCAUUGCGAAGGCAGCUUACUACGCAUAUAUUGACGCUGAGGCACGAAAGCGUGGGGAUCAAACAGGAUUAGAUACCCUGGUAGUCCACGCCCUAAACUAUGGAUACUCGACAUAUGCGAUACACUGUAUGUGUCUGAGCGAAAGCAUUAAGUAUCCCACCUGGGAAGUACGUUCGCAAGAAUGAAACUCAAAGGAAUUGGCGGGGGUCCGCACAAGCGGUGGAGUAUGUGGUUUAAUUCGAUGAUACGCGAGGAACCUUACCUGGGCUAGAAUGCUGGGAGAUCGCUAGUGAAAGCUAGUUUUGUAGCAAUACACUGCCAGUAAGGUGCUGCAUGGCCGUCGUCAGCUCGUGCCGUGAGGUGUUGGGUUAAGUCCCGCAACGAGCGCAACCCCUAUCUUUAGUUGCCAACAGGUAAUGCUGGGAACUCUAAAGAAACUGCCGCCGUAAGGUGUGAGGAANGGAGGGGAUGAUGUCAGG